GACGAACGCUGGCGGCGUGCUUAACACAUGCAAGUCGAACGGAAAGGCCCUGCUUUUGUGGGGUGCUCGAGUGGCGAACGGGUGAGUAACACGUGAGUAACCUGCCCUUGACUUUGGGAUAACUUCAGGAAACUGGGGCUAAUACCGGAUAGGAGCUCCUGCUGCAUGGUGGGGGUUGGAAAGUUUCGGCGGUUGGGGAUGGACUCGCGGCUUAUCAGCUUGUUGGUGGGGUAGUGGCUUACCAAGGCUUUGACGGGUAGCCGGCCUGAGAGGGUGACCGGCCACAUUGGGACUGAGAUACGGAGCAGAAUCCUACGGGAGGCAGCAGUGGGGAAUAUUGCACAAUGGGCGGAAGCCUGAUGCAGCAACGCCGCGUACGGGAUGACGGCCUUCGGGUUGUAAACCGCUUUCGCCUGUGACGAAGCGUGAGUGACGGUAAUGGGUAAAGAAGCACCGGCUAACUACGUG
Molecule: ribosomal RNA, 468 nt
Filed under: uncultured bacterium
Lineage: Bacteria
Description: partial 16S ribosomal RNA
Rfam family: Bacterial small subunit ribosomal RNA
Source: RNAcentral